Molecule: ribosomal RNA, 482 nt
Filed under: uncultured bacterium
Lineage: Bacteria
Description: bacterial SSU rRNA
Rfam family: Bacterial small subunit ribosomal RNA
Source: RNAcentral
CUGGCGGCGUGCUUAACACAUGCAAGUCGAACGAAGCACUUUUAGCGGACUGGAGAGCUUGACUCAAAGGAAAGAUAAAAGUGACUGAGUGGCGGACGGGUGAGUAACGCGUGGGUAACCUGCCUCAUACAGGGGGAUAACAGUUAGAAAUGACUGCUAAUACCGCAUAAGCGCACAGCAUCGCAUGAUGCAGUGUGAAAAACUCCGGUGGUAUGAGAUGGACCCGCGUCUGAUUAGCUAGUUGGUGAGGUAACGGCUCACCAAGGCGACGAUCAGUAGCCGACCUGAGAGGGUGACCGGCCACAUUGGGACUGAGACACGGCCCAGACUCCUACGGGAGGCAGCAGUGGGGAAUAUUGCACAAUGGGGGAAACCCUGAUGCAGCGACGCCGCGUGAGUGAAGAAGUAUUUCGGUAUGUAAAGCUCUAUCAGCAGGGAAGAUAAUGACGGUACCUGACUAAGAAGCCCCGGCUAACUACGUG